UACGGGGGGAGCAAGCGUUGUUCGGAUUUACUGGGCGUAAAGGGCGCGUAGGCGGCCAGCACAAGUCAGUUGUGAAAUCUCCGAGCUUAACUCGGAACGGUCAACUGAUACUGUGCGGCUAGAGUGCGGAAGGGGCAACUGGAAUUCUUGGUGUAGCGGUGAAAUGCGUAGAUAUCAAGAGGAGCACCUGCGGCGAAGGCGGGUUGCUGGGCCGACACUGACGCUGAGGCGCGAAAGCCAGGGGAGCGAACGGG
Molecule: ribosomal RNA, 254 nt
Filed under: uncultured bacterium
Lineage: Bacteria
Description: partial 16S ribosomal RNA
Rfam family: Bacterial small subunit ribosomal RNA
Source: RNAcentral